AGAGUUGAUCCUGGCUCAGGAUGAACGCUAGCUACAGGCUUAACACAUGCAAGUCGAGGGGCAGCGGGGAUCUAGCUUGCUAGAUCUGCCGGCGACCGGCGCACGGGUGAGUAACGCGUAUCCAACCUUCCCUAUAGUAGAGGAUAGCCCGGCGAAAGUCGGAUUAAUACUCUAUGUUUUCCAAUGCAGACAUCUAAAAUGGAACAAAGGUUUACCGCUAUAGGAUGGGGAUGCGUCUGAUUAGGUUGUUGGCGGGGUAACGGCCCACCAAGCCUACGAUCAGUAGGGGUUCUGAGAGGAAGGUCCCCCACAUUGGAACUGAGACACGGUCCAAACUCCUACGGGAGGCAGCAGUGAGGAAUAUUGGUCAAUGGGCGAGAGCCUGAACCAGCCAAGUAGCGUGCAGGAAUGACGGCCCUAUGGGUUGUAAACUGCUUUUAUACAGGGAUAAAGUGCGCCACGUGUGGCGCUUUGUAGGUACUGUAUGAAUAAGGACCGGCUAAUUCCGUGCCAGCAGCGGC
Molecule: ribosomal RNA, 521 nt
Filed under: uncultured bacterium
Lineage: Bacteria
Description: bacterial SSU rRNA
Rfam family: Bacterial small subunit ribosomal RNA
Source: RNAcentral